GCGUUGGUGGAGCAACUGUUUGCACGCGCUCCCAGAAAGAGUGAGAUCUGGGUUUGAAUCCCGGCCAACGCA
This is a non-coding RNA of Parelaphostrongylus tenuis, 72 nucleotides long. The record is from the annotation of a GenBank genome assembly. NCBI's taxonomy places the organism in Eukaryota, Metazoa, Nematoda, Chromadorea, Rhabditida, Metastrongylidae.